AUGCUGCUCCUGAGAAUGUUCACCUCCUGCUGCUGCCUCUGGGUUUUUGGGCUUGGGCAGCUGGAGCAAACUGAAUUAUCGGUCACCAGAGCAACAGAUGAGAGUGCGCAAAUAUCCUGUAUAGUUUCUCUUCCAUGUUUCUCCAACACAGCUAUACAUUGGUACCGGCAAAAACCAAAUCAACAGUUUGAGUAUCUAAUAUAUGUCGAGACAAACUACAAUCAACAACCCUUAGGAGGGAAGAACAAGAAAAUUGAAGCAAGUAAAGAUUUUCAAACUUCUACCUCAACCUUGAAAAUAAAUUACUUGAAGAAAGAAGAUGAAGCCACCUACUACUGUGCAGUCUGGAUAAA
This is a non-coding RNA of Mus musculus (house mouse), 353 nucleotides long. The record is from the annotation of a RefSeq genome assembly. Lineage: Eukaryota; Metazoa; Chordata; Mammalia; Rodentia; Muridae.